RNAcentral lists this ribosomal RNA (301 nucleotides) under uncultured bacterium. RNAcentral describes it as "partial 16S ribosomal RNA". It matches the Rfam family "Bacterial small subunit ribosomal RNA", at positions 509 to 809 of the family's 1533-position model. The record is from RNAcentral.
CAGUAGCCGCGGUAAUACGUAGGUGGCAAGCGUUGUCCGGAAUUAUUGGGCGUAAAGGGCUCGCAGGCGGUUUCUUAAGUCUGAUGUGAAAGCCCCCGGCUCAACCGGGGAGGGUCAUUGGAAACUGGGAAACUUGAGUGCAGAAGAGGAGAGUGGAAUUCCACGUGUAGCGGUGAAAUGCGUAGAGAUGUGGAGGAACACCAGUGGCGAAGGCGACUCUCUGGUCUGUAACUGACGCUGAGGAGCGAAGGCGUGGGGAGCGAACAGGAUUAGAUACCCCUGUAGUCCCUGUCUCUUAUAU